GACGAACGCUGGCGGCGUGCCUAACACAUGCAAGUCGAGCGGAGUCAGUAAGAGGAAGUUUUCGGAUGGAAUCUUAUUGAUUUAGCGGCGGACGGGUGAGUAACGCGUGAGCGACCAACCUUGCACAGGGGGAUAACGGACCGAAAGGUUCACUAAUACCGCAUGAGACCACGGUGUUGCAUGACACAGUGGUCAAAGGAGCAAUCCGGUGCAAGACGGGCUCGCGUCCGAUUAGGUAGUUGGAGGGGUAACGGCCCACCAAGCCUAUGAUCGGUAGCCGACCUGAGAGGGUGAUCGGCCACAUUGGAACUGAGAUACGGUCCAAACUCCUACGGGAGGCAGCAGUGGGGAAUAUUGGGCAAUGGGGGAAACCCUGACCCAGCAACGCCGCGUGAAGGAAGAAGGUUUUCGGAUUGUAAACUUCUGUCCUUGGUGAAGAGAAGAAGACGGUAGCCGAAGGAGGAAGCCCCGGACUAACUACGUG
Molecule: ribosomal RNA, 484 nt
Filed under: uncultured bacterium
Lineage: Bacteria
Description: bacterial SSU rRNA
Rfam family: Bacterial small subunit ribosomal RNA
Source: RNAcentral